AAGUGGAGCUUGCCAAAGAGCACCAGCUAUGUUGGUAACAGUGGAAUUUGUGCCUGCCUUAUUUUACCCAAGGUUGCUGCUAGAGGAAGCGAAUAUGCAAAGAAGGAAGAUUUUUAAAGUAUCCUCUCAUUCAUUAAUUCCAGUUUCUUAGAAGAGUAUAAAAGAAGACAAGUGGAAAUUUACUGGCAAAAAUAAAGUGUACUAAACUUCAUUGACCUCAUGGGAAGCAACGGUGCUUUUCCAAUCUUCCACUUUCAAGAUUCUAAGAAAUCAUGUCCAAUUUAAUUACAGGAAAGAGAUAAAAAAAAACCAUUAAGAUUGGGAGUUUCAUUGAAGGGGAGGUUCAUUAAAAAAUCCAGAUUAAUGUGAAAAUAAUUCACCAAUUCAAUUACCUGGGAAAACGAAGAUGGGAGCUUCUAGUGUUAUUGAUGACAAUAAUGGAAAGGAGAAAGGGAACAAAGAGUUCAAUUGAGUGUAUGUGAAGAGACAAUGCUGUGCUUAAAUGAAAGCAAAGGUCAGAGGCCAGGUUUUCCUAAAGACAUAGAGAUUUUCUAAAGUAUUUACUGGAAGAGAAACUCAACCCAGAAGGGUAAGCUAACAUCUUUCAUGAAAGCGAAGCAACUAUUAAUCCAAGGUUAUGCAACUCUAUAAAAUAUAUUAAAUAGUC
RNAcentral lists this long non-coding RNA (667 nucleotides) under Homo sapiens (human). Its description in RNAcentral is "HSALNT0107915". Lineage: Eukaryota; Metazoa; Chordata; Mammalia; Primates; Hominidae. The record is from RNAcentral.